RNAcentral lists this ribosomal RNA (492 nucleotides) under uncultured bacterium. RNAcentral describes it as "partial 16S ribosomal RNA". It matches the Rfam family "Bacterial small subunit ribosomal RNA", at positions 29 to 507 of the family's 1533-position model. The record is from RNAcentral.
AGUGAACGCUGGCGGUAGGCCUAACACAUGCAAGUCGAACGGCAGCACAGUAAGAGCUUGCUCUUACGGGUGGCGAGUGGCGGACGGGUGAGGAAUACAUCGGAAUCUACUUUUUCGUGGGGGAUCACGUAGGGAAACUUACGAUAAUACCGCAUACGACCUACGGGUGAAAGCAGGGGAACUUCGGACCUUGCGCGAUUGAAUGAGCCGAUGUCGGAUUAGCUAGUUGGCGGGGUAAAGGCCCACCAAGGCGACGAUCCGUAGCUGGUGUGAGAGGAUGAUCAGCCACACUGGAACGGAGACACGGUCCAGACUCCUACGGGAGGCAGCAGUGGGGAAUAGGGGACAAUGGGCGCAAGCCUGAUCCAGCCAGACCGCGUGGGUGAAGAAGGCCUUCGGGUUGUAAAGCCCGUUUGUAGGGAAAGAAAAGCAGCAGCUUAAGACGCCGCGGGUCUGACGGUACCCAAUGAAUAAGCACCGGCUAACUUCGUG